Molecule: ribosomal RNA, 468 nt
Filed under: uncultured bacterium
Lineage: Bacteria
Description: partial 16S ribosomal RNA
Rfam family: Bacterial small subunit ribosomal RNA
Source: RNAcentral
GACGAACGCUGGCGGCGUGCUUAACACAUGCAAGUCGAACGGAAAGGCCCUGCUUUUGUGGGGUGCUCGAGUGGCGAACGGGUGAGUAACACGUGAGUAACCUGCCCUUGACUUUGGGAUAACUUCAGGAAACUGGGGCUAAUACCGGAUAGGAGCUCCUGCUGCAUGGUGGGGGUUGGAAAGUUUCGGCGGUUGGGGAUGGACUCGCGGCUUAUCAGCUUGUUGGUGGGGUAGUGGCUUACCAAGGCUUUGACGGGUAGCCGGCCUGAGAGGGUGACCGGCCACAUUGGGACUGAGAUACGGCCCAGACUCCUACGGGAGGCAGCAGUGGGGAAUAUUGCACAAUGGGUGGAAGCCUGAUGCAGCAACGCCGCGUGCGGGAUGACGGCCUUCGGGUUGUAAACCGCUUUCGCCUGUGACGAAGCGUGAGUAACGGUAAUGGGUAAAGAAGCACCGGCUAACUACGUG